UACAGAGGGUGCGAGCGUUGUCCGGAAUCACUGGGCGUAAAGGGCGCGUAGGCGGUUGCCUAAGCGUGUGGUGAAAGCCCGGGGCUCAACCCCGGGUCGGCCAUGCGAACUGGGCGACUGGAGCCGAUCAGAGGCAGGCGGAAUUCCGGGUGUAGCGGUGGAAUGCGUAGAGAUCCGGAAGAACACCGGUGGCGAAGGCGGCCUGCUGGGAUCUUGCUGACGCUGAGGCGCGACAGCGUGGGGAGCAAACAGG
This 253-nucleotide ribosomal RNA is filed under the name uncultured bacterium. Its description in RNAcentral is "partial 16S ribosomal RNA". It matches the Rfam family "Bacterial small subunit ribosomal RNA", at positions 524 to 776 of the family's 1533-position model. The record is from RNAcentral.